GCAGUUGGUGAAUUCCAUCGCCAAGACAUAUGUGGGAACCAACGCCUACAUGGCACCGGAGAGGAUAUCUGGGGAGCAGUAUGGUAUCCAUUCAGACGUCUGGAGCGUGGGCAUCUCCUUCAUGGAGGUGAGUGCAGAGUGCAGGUGUCUGUGUGUGUCUGUGAUUGCAGAGUGCAGGUGUCUGUGUGUGUCUGUGAUUGUAGAGUGCAGGUGUCUGUGUGUGUCUGUGAUUGCAGAGUGCAGGUGUCUGUGUGUGUCUGUGAUUGUAGAGUGCAGGUGUGUCUGUGUGUGUCUGUGAUUGUAGAGUGCAGGUGUGUCUGUGUGUGUCUGUGAUUGUAGAGUGCAGGUGUGUCUGUGUGUCUGUGAUUGCAGAGUGCAGGUGUUUGUGUGUGUCUGUGUGUCUGUGAUUGCAGAGUGCAGGUGUUUGUGUGUGUCUGUGUGUCUGUGAUUGCAGAGUGCAGGUGUUUGUGUGUGUCUGUGAUUGCAGAGUGCAGGUGUUUGUGUGUGUCUGUGAUUGCAGAGUGCAGGUGUUUGUUUGUGUGUGUCUGUGAUUGCAGAGUGCAGGUGU
Molecule: long non-coding RNA, 568 nt
Organism: Oncorhynchus keta (chum salmon)
Lineage: Eukaryota; Metazoa; Chordata; Actinopteri; Salmoniformes; Salmonidae
Exons: 3
Source: RefSeq, a predicted model, not a curated record